CCGGGCAAUAACGCCAUUCAUGCAUCCCUAAAAAAAACAAAAAAUCAAAAUCCAUUCAAUAACGGCUACUCCUCCAUACACACCAUUCAUCCAUCCAUCCAUCCAUCCAUCCGUCCUGCUUUUCAGCCAUUCAUAGCAGCACCCAUCUCUGCAUCCGUACGAUCAUCCUCCAUCCAUCCCUCCAUCCUCCUUCCCUCCGUCACAAUGCAGGAGCCGCCUGCCAGUCUUCCCGGCUGGCUGGCAGCCUCCGUCACGGGAAGACAGGAAGCGCACGUGCCAGGGUCCUCACGUGCGGCGAGGUGGCAGACGGACGCUCACGCGCACUGGCGGCCGCCUAAAAAUAGCAUCGGCGGAGGAGGAGACUAUACGCUGCCGUUAAAUAGAAAUCCGCCAGUUAUUUUUAAACUCGGAGUCCCUCUGCUGCAAUCUUGGACGUGACUUCCCUGUUAAAAAAAAAAAAAAAAAAAAAAAGAAGAAGUCUUCUAUUUUUGUCCGCAUGUGCCAUCCCUCGGUGUGUAUACUUUGCGUUCGCGCGAGCUGCUGAUGAAUGACUGUGGGCAUCUAACGACAAGAAAGCUCCGUCACCAUACCAACCGUUUCUUGCAUUUAGGAGUUGAUUACUCGCACUCGGAUGCCUUUAUGCUUUAUGAUUCUGGCCUUCUCUUGUAAUUUUCGCAUCUCUUCGUGCUCAAGAAACCUCUGAGCAGCUCCAACCACACCACACCAAGAAAAAGUCCUAUGUAGAAGAAGAAUAACAGAAAUCUCCUUCAAAAGCUUUUUUUCUGGUGGCUCGAUGCACUGCUGCCCGAGUGUAUUGUCGUGGGAGCAGUAAUGGCAUCUCAAGAGAGAGUCGAAAACCUUCCUGCUCUCCACGUCUGCUCGAACCUCCUGAUGGAAAAAAUGUGUCCAAACACCGAUGCGAGUCCAGGGGCACCUCAAACCGCUCUUUCCCCAAGACUUGGCGGCGCCCGCAUGCCUACACAGCGGCGGACGUUGUUAGCCAGAGAAACAAAGACGUCGGCGACGGAACAAGCAAAGGAGAAGAAUAAAAAGGUCGAACAAAAAAAAACCAAAAAAUGAGUUGUUAAAAAAGAAAGAAAGAAGACAGAGGUGAUAAUGAGGCUGUGACAUUACUUCCUGCAUCAUUUUCAUUGGUGGAGAAAACCUUGUUGGUGAGCGUAGCGACAGAACUGGAGUUGGUCAGCGGAUAUGCAUGCAGUUUUUUUUUAGCCCAGAAACUCAGUAAUCCUCGGGGUUAGAUUAGGUUAGGUUAGGUUGGUCUUCAUCCAAGAUUUGCGUACUCCAUUCGCUGGCUACUGAAUCUCCCGCCAAACAUUGUUUACACCUCCAUCCUUGAGGAUUUCGUUCACUAUGUUCUGUACCUCGUACUCACAUUUUCUUUUUCAGUUCUACAAGAUCAAAUUGAUCAAAUAUUUUUGCUUCAUUUUGCGAGCCAAAUGCUGUUAGCCUCCCUAACUUCGACUACUCGCCGCGAGUCUUAAAAUAUUCAUACCGGCGGGACCGCAGGAUUGGUGACAAGGAACAAGGGCAGUGGCGCCAAGGGAAGCUUCAUUUUUGUUGCCAAAAUGUUAUGGCCAAUAAUGCGCGGACGACACCUUUGUGCUAAUGAGAACUUUAAUUAGGUCAACAAACACACUACAUUCCGAUUCACGACAAUUGUGUCGCUUGACGGUACUGUGCCGUAAUACAUAGGCAAGUCGAAUUGUUUUACCAAAAAUGAGACUGGUAGCACUUGCAAAACACACAAGUAUAUGUUCAAAUAAAAUAAAAACAUGAGUCAAAUAAAAACAGUAAAACAGAGAAAUGCUUACUUUUUUGGAACCGGGUUUCAAUGUCCCGUCUUAUGACACGCUAUACUAUGGAAAGUUUGUUAAAAAGAAAAACAUUCAGCAUAAUGUUGAGUUUUAUUUGUUUCUAUGACCGUCUGUCAAAAUAUGUCUUCAUGUGGAAUUCCUCCGUGAUUACUGUGCUGCAAAAAUAUCAAUGAUCGCACCAAUUAAUCAACUUCUACUCGACUUUCAUCGCAUUAUAGUCGACUACAAAAAAUCUCAGGCUGUUCAACCCCGAACAAGUGGAAAAGAAAAGGGAUGGAUGGAUGCAUUCUGUAUAUAAACAUAAUCAAUAAACAACCAUAAAAAUUGGACACAGCUCAUUUCUAUGCAAGUGAGCAAACAUUCCUGCAAGGGGAUCAAAUACAGUAGUUCGCUGUACACGUUGAAUCUGCCAGUUGACCCUACCUCCCAGUGACAUUAUUUAUGUGGCAGACUGAAACACAGAACUCACUGACAUGUCACCUUGCUGCUCUCAAGUGUCUUUGCUUGUAUUCCCAUCUUCACACCCUCUCAAGCGGCACAAAGCUGCAGCAGGAGAGCCUGUGAACAAUGUCUUUCCGCAUGACCUCCACUCGCGUGUAAAGUGCACAUGCAAGACAUAAAGGAGGUUAUGUUUCGCGUUGUUUCCGGAGUGAGUGGCUUGUUGUGUGAAUUCCGUAAAACCUCUCAAAACAAGUGUCCAAUUGAUUGCUGUGUAAUUCCACGUUUGCGUUUGUACAAUGUGUCAAAUGGACGAUGACCGGAUCCAUCUCAUGACCGCCGUCAGAAGGAAGGGAAAAGUCACCUUUAUUACCUUAACAAUGUUGACAGAACGUACAAUAAAGCAACAAAUCCGGCGGCUUGCUGGCAUUUUUAUGUUUGCUUUGCUGCUAAUGGAUUUGUAACCACAGGUGCUUUGUGUCUUUUUUACGACGCGUGUCUCACACGCUCCAAAUGUCAACAUGCUAUCGCCGCUUCUCUCCUCGGCGGUGACAGCAUCGUCCUUUUGUCAGUUAAAAAAUGACUCUAUGCAAAUUGUAGGAAAUCAUGCAACAGGUUUAUAAAGAUUGCACCCAAAUUGAAUUUUCCCCCCAAAAAAUUAAACAUUCUGGACACUGUCUCAUAGGCUGCUAUUUCCAUGGAAUU
Long non-coding RNA from Phyllopteryx taeniolatus (common seadragon), 2978 nucleotides. RefSeq lists it as uncharacterized. The transcript is spliced from 3 exons. Lineage: Eukaryota; Metazoa; Chordata; Actinopteri; Syngnathiformes; Syngnathidae. The record is from RefSeq and is a predicted model, not a curated record.